RNAcentral lists this long non-coding RNA (696 nucleotides) under Chrysolophus pictus (golden pheasant). RNAcentral describes it as "lncRNA (ENSCPIG00010008415.1)". Lineage: Eukaryota; Metazoa; Chordata; Aves; Galliformes; Phasianidae. The record is from RNAcentral.
CUCAUCCUCACAGCUCUGCUGUCUGCAGCUGCUGCUCCCCACAAACCCACAGCACCUCCGAGCCUGGCUAACACAACAACGCCGUGGCUGCUGGGGACAUGGCAGUACGUGGCUGGAGCUGCCCAGCUGCCCCAGCACCUCCUGGAGCUGCUGCUCAUCGAUCACGGCCACCUCCAUGUGGAGCCCAGCAGCGGGCAGGAGCUGCUCAUCACCCAGCACGUGGCAGUGUGAGGCACCCACUUUCCAUCCCCGGUCCUUUUCUCCCACCCCAUUCCCUCUGCGGGUGCCCCAGCAUCCCCAUUCUCUGCAGGGGUGACCGAUGCCUCUCCAACAACUCCACCUCCAUCCACCUCGGUGCCAACAGCACGGCGCUGCUCAAGGAUGCCACGACGCAGCACAUCCUGGGGAUGGUGACAAAGCUCAGCUCUGAGGACACUCUGCUCAUCCAGCACCACGUGCAGAGGGAGAGGACGUAUUCAGCUCUGUAUCUCUAUGGAGCUGUGCCAACCGGGAGAGAAGGAAAAGAUGGAAGAAAGGAAGGAUGGAGGAGUGCAAGGCACGGCCCUGCCAAGCACCCCGACGGGCAGCCUGCAGCAAUAAAAGCUUUGCUCAGAGCUGUAGCACCACCUGAGCAGGACGUGCGAAAAGGAACCGAGCGCCUGGUUUGUUUUGCGUGCCGUUGCCCCGGCGUUCGGG